RNAcentral lists this ribosomal RNA (437 nucleotides) under uncultured bacterium. Its description in RNAcentral is "bacterial SSU rRNA". It matches the Rfam family "Bacterial small subunit ribosomal RNA", at positions 355 to 786 of the family's 1533-position model. The record is from RNAcentral.
UAGGGAAUUUUCGUCAAUGGGGGAGCCCUGAACGAGCAAUGCCGCGUGUGUGAAGAAGGUCUUCGGAUCGUAAAGCACUGUUGUAAGUGAAGAAUGGCACAUAGAGGAAAUGCUAUGUGGGUGACGGUAGCUUACCAGAAAGCCACGGCUAACUACGUGCCAGCAGCCGCGGUAAUACGUAGGUGGCAAGCGUUAUCCGGAAUCAUUGGGCGUAAAGGGUGCGUAGGUGGCACGAUAAGUCUGAAGUAAAAGGCAACAGCUCAACUGUUGUAUGCUUUGGAAACUGUCGAGCUAGAGUGCAGAAGAGGGCGAUGGAAUUCCAUGUGUAGCGGUAAAAUGCGUAGAUAUAUGGAGGAACACCAGUGGCGAAGGCGGUCGCCUGGUCUGUAACUGACACUGAUGCACGAAAGCGUGGGGAGCAAAUAGGAUUAGAUACC